AAUUCCUGAUGAGGGCAAUUCUUGAUCAUCAUAUUAAAUCGUUCAAAUGCCUCAUGAAACAUCUCACCUUGUUGUUGUUGAAAACUUCUCAACCCUUUCCUAGCAUC
RNAcentral lists this small nucleolar RNA (107 nucleotides) under Helianthus annuus (common sunflower). Its description in RNAcentral is "Plant small nucleolar RNA R71". It matches the Rfam family "Plant small nucleolar RNA R71". Rfam says of the family: R71 is a member of the C/D box family of snoRNAs containing the C (UGAUGA) and D (CUGA) box motifs. The record is from RNAcentral. Lineage: Eukaryota; Viridiplantae; Streptophyta; Magnoliopsida; Asterales; Asteraceae.